Long non-coding RNA from Acanthopagrus latus (yellowfin seabream), 2436 nucleotides. RefSeq lists it as uncharacterized. Lineage: Eukaryota; Metazoa; Chordata; Actinopteri; Spariformes; Sparidae. The record is from RefSeq and is a predicted model, not a curated record. The transcript is spliced from 3 exons.
CCCACAUGCUCCUCUGAGGACGACGCUGAUUGGUAGAAUCGCACAUGAUGCGUGGGAGGCUAGUGCGCCUGCGCACAGCUUCAUGUCCCGGAAAGACUAGCGGGGGACGCUGGGGGAACUCGAGCUCGCGGAGCUCUGUCCUCCAGAGAGCAAAACAACCGACUGGCCGCUCUCUGCAUCCAGACCCCGGCGCUGCUUGAUUGACAACUGCGCUUAUCCAAUCAGAGAGCGUACCACCACCUCGACAUCUUAUUGGUUCUCGGGUCCGGCUCCAGCUCUCUGCAUCAGCCAAUCACAGCGCGCGUACGCCAAUAAAACUUAAUACAGCCAUCCUGGCAGACUCUGUGGCGCCCCGCAGCGGAGGCAUAUGGAAGCAAUUUCAGUGCGGGUUUUGUUUUAAUGCUGAUGGACUGUGCAGACUUCUUCCACAUGAUGUGUCCCUGUGGUGUGCAGGAAGCUGGCUGCUUCGUGUUAGUCCAGUCAGCGGUGGUUCUGCUUUGUUCCGUCAGCAGUAACACGUCUCGACAGUAAUGUAGAACUGUUGUAUUUAUUGCCACUCUGAGCCAUGUAAAACACAAUAACUCCCAACCUUUAUUCCCAUUUUUCAGUGUGUAACAUGUGCUAUUAUUUUGAAAAGCGACUGUUUUGCCAGAGAAAGUGUCAGUGCAGCUGUGGCCAGGAGGGGGCGCUGCUGCUUAAGUUUUCCAUCCUGAGGCCUGACCUGUGGUUUGUUCACCUCUCACGACUGGAUCCUGUGUUCACGAGUUGAAAUGUACCUCUUUUCAAUUUGAAAAAAUGAAAAUAUCAUCAAGAUCUCACUCAGAAAUAAAUAAGAAAUAUAUACAUGUGACAGCUGCUUCAACCAGACGCAGAUUUUAUAGCUCUUCCUCACGUUCUCCGCGUUCCUUCCUUUUCUUUCACCAUCUCUCAAGCGUCCAGAGGUUGAGGGGCCAGCACUGGGGCGAGGCGCUGACAGUUUAAAAAAAAAAAAAGGAGUAAGAAAAAGUCAUGAGGGAAGCGGUCGUGGAUUUGAUGUCAGAGCCUGAGAUUGGCCUCCUUGAUAAAAUCGGUCUGGCUCGGCGAGAUUGGCAGCCUUCUCGUCGGAAAAGAAAACAGAAAGGGCCCCAAACAAACAGAGCAGAAUGGCCCCGGCCGAGCAGAAAAACAGCCCUGUGCCAUGUGACCUGGUAACUGCGGAACAAUGUCAGCUCAGGCAAACACACACGUGAAAGAAAGUGGAGCGACAAAGAUUUGGAUUCAUUUUUGUGCAUAUUUUUGCUUGUGCAUCGACACGGGAAGUGAGUGUUUUCAGGCCGAUCUUGAAGGAAACCUCCCUGUGUUCCUGCAGCUAUUGUGUCUACUCCACUAAUGGACUCCUCUUCCCCUGUCUCCUUUUUCUCCCUCUGUCUUCCCCUCCUUUUUUCUCCCAUAUCAUAUCCAUGUAUUCCCCCGGGGGCUGAUUAAAAGGCUUUCUAGCAGGGGUGAGGGGAGAAGAGAGGAGAGAAGAGGAGAAGAAGAAGGGGGGGUGGCAGUGUGGAAGAGUGGUCCUUAUUACCCCAUAUGUCUGGACAGGAGAGGGUGGAGUGGAGGUCCUCUUCCAGUUAAUCAAUAGAGAUACGGUCCUUCUCCGCUCCCUGUGUCUCCUCUUGCCUCCACCCUCAGCCUCCCCCAUUAGAGAUAAUGUGUCUGGUAUUGACACAGCAGGGUCUGGGUUCUAUGACAGAAAUACAGUUGUGCUCCGCGAGGCCCACGUCAAAAACUCUGUGGUCGACAGAUCGGCCUGACUCAUCGAUUCGCAGUGUGACCCAAUUCUUCUUCUUCUUCUUCUUUUUCUUCUUCUUCUUCUUCUUACAAACAGAUGGAAAGUGAGCAGAGAUUGCAACAACAUCUAUUUGUUUAGUAUUAGUCUCAUAAGAAAAUGUGUGUAAAGGCAUUACAAUUGAUUAUCUCUGCACUUCUUUCUCAGCAAGGUACCGACGAUGUUCCAGUAUUUUUCAGGAAAGUGGUUUGUGUAAACCCUUUUAUCCCAUUAGUCAUUGAUUUUCAUGGUCACACGCUCACUUUUUCCAUAUUUAUAUUGUUGUUUGGUUGAGACAUUCAUUUUGGUCUGAGUGGACUAAUUUUAAGUGCUUCUGUUUUGGUAAGACGAUAACGCUGAAAUAUGUCUUUUCUGUCGUGACUCAAACUCACUACAACUUCAGCUGGUUGUAAAACAGUCUCAGUUUAACACUGAUGCCUCCCUGUGACCUGUGUGAGCAAACAAGACCUUCUGCAUAAAGAUUUUCUAUUUCUGCAAAGUUAUUGUAGUUAUUCUUGUUCCCUACCAACUUAUCCGGGGCUGAUAUUAAAACUAUUAUUCACAGUUUAUUUUAUGAUGAGGAUGAAUUAAGGCGAUUCACAGGUUGAGGAAAUAAGCUGCUCUGUAGUCAGUUACAU